AGUGAACGCUGGCGGCAGGCCUAACACAUGCAAGUCGAGCGGCAGCGCGGGGGCAACCCUGGCGGCGAGCGGCGGACGGGUGAGGAAUUCGUCGGAAUCUGCCUUUUUGUGGGGGAUAACGUAGGGAAACUUACGCUAAUACCGCAUACGUCCUACGGGAGAAAGUGGGGGACCGCAAGGCCUCACGCAGAAAGAUGAGCCGACGACCGAUUAGCUAGUUGGUGGGGUAAAGGCCCACCAAGGCGACGAUCGGUAGCUGGUCUGAGAAGAUGAUCAGCCACACUGGGACUGAGACACGGCCCAGACUCCUACGGGAGGCAGCAGUGGGGAAUAUUGGACAAUGGGCGCAAGCCUGAUCCAGCCAUGCCGCGUGUGUGAAGAAGGCCUUCGGGUUGUAAAGCACUUUUGUCCGGAAAGAAAUCCCUGGAGCUAAUACCUUCGGGGGAUGACGGUACCGGAAGAAUAAGCACCGGCUAACUUCGUG
Molecule: ribosomal RNA, 484 nt
Filed under: uncultured bacterium
Lineage: Bacteria
Description: partial 16S ribosomal RNA
Rfam family: Bacterial small subunit ribosomal RNA
Source: RNAcentral